GAGUUUGAUCUUGGCUCAGAACGAACGCUGGCGGCAUGCCUAACACAUGCAAGUCGAACGAGACCUUCGGGUCUAGUGGCGCACGGGUGCGUAACGCGUGGGAAUCUGCCCUUGGGUUCGGGAUAACAGUUGGAAACGACUGCUAAUACCGGAUGAUGUCUUCGGACCAAAGAUUUAUCGCCCAGGGAUGAGCCCGCGUCGGAUUAGCUUGUUGGUGAGGUAAAAGCUCACCAAGGCGACGAUCCGUAGCUGGUCUGAGAGGAUGAUCAGCCACACUGGGACUGAGACACGGCCCAGACUCCUACGGGAGGCAGCAGUGGGGAAUAUUGGACAAUGGGCGAAAGCCUGAUCCAGCAAUGCCGCGUGAGUGAUGAAGGCCUUAGGAUUGUAAAGCUCUUUUACCCGGGAUGAUAAUGACAGUACCGGGAGAAUAAGCCCCGGCUAACUCCGU
Molecule: ribosomal RNA, 451 nt
Filed under: uncultured Alphaproteobacteria bacterium
Lineage: Bacteria; Pseudomonadati; Pseudomonadota; Alphaproteobacteria
Also listed under: 1 other name
Description: bacterial SSU rRNA
Rfam family: Bacterial small subunit ribosomal RNA
Source: RNAcentral